ACAUUUUCCACUUUGCUUCUUCUCUAAUCCAAUUUCUUUUGUAGAUCACACUCUGCGAAUCACCUCUGAUCGAUCAUGUCAGGUUCACCGUCCUCAUCGUCGGCAUCCGAAGAUGAAGAUGAAGGAAUCGAUUCGUACAGAAAAGGAGGAUAUCAUGCCGUCAGAAUCGGUGAUUCAUUUUCCGGUGGACGAUAUAUCGCUCAGAGAAAACUUGGCUGGGGAGAAUUCUCUACCGUUUGGCUCGCUUAUGAUACUCGAUCAUCCGAAUUUGUAGCUUUGAAGAUCCAGAAAAGUGCACCACAAUUUGCUCAAGCUGCUCUUCACGAAAUUGAAGUCCUUUCUGCUAUUGCCGACGGUGAUACCCA
RNAcentral lists this unclassified non-coding RNA (365 nucleotides) under Hevea brasiliensis (rubber tree). The record is from RNAcentral. Lineage: Eukaryota; Viridiplantae; Streptophyta; Magnoliopsida; Malpighiales; Euphorbiaceae.